This is an RNA transcript of Malurus melanocephalus (red-backed fairy wren), 954 nucleotides long. It is a transcript of the gene named small integral membrane protein 20, with no coding region annotated. The transcript is spliced from 4 exons. The record is from RefSeq and is a predicted model, not a curated record. NCBI's taxonomy places the organism in Eukaryota, Metazoa, Chordata, Aves, Passeriformes, Maluridae.
GGGGCCAUGGCGGGACUGUCCCGCACCCUCGGCAUCUUCGGUGCCUUCGUGGCCGUGGUGGGAGCCGCAUUUUAYCCCAUUUACUUCCGGCCGCUGCUGCUGCCGGAGGAGUACAGGAAAGAACAGUCAAUAAACCGAGCUGGUGUUGUUCAAGAGAAUAUUCAGCCUGCAGGCUAAUUCUUCACUGAAAAUUUAUGGUUUUAAUGAAACUCAUCUUAAAUUGACUUAACUGGCCAAGGUUAAAAGUGUGGUCGGAUCCAUUUGGAAGAAAGUAAUGUUGGCAUCUGGAUGUAUUGCAAAGCUGAAGAUGGACAUCUUCGGCUGUUCCUUCUUGCACUGAAGUGUUUUUGGAUGUCUCUAGAGAAGAAUUCUGAAUAUGCUGCGUGGGCACAGGAGAAGCAACACAGGCUGCCCAAGAGCGAAAAACAUGCUGGUCUUGAGACAGAAUGCUGGUACAUAGCUCACAGACUGUUAAAGAGCUGAAUGAUUCUUGAGGAUAGAAAUGAAAUAUUUAUUUCCUUGAGAAAGAAAAAAUAUUUUCUUCUAAUCUGUAGACACUUGCAGAAUAAAUUAUGAAYAGAAUAGAUCAUGCAGGCUGCUGCACUUUCCUCCCUAGUUUGAAAGUUGCAACAUGGUGAGUGUAAAUUUGUACAUUAAAAUUUUUAAACCGGUGUGUACUUUUGUUCAUUGUUUUGCAAGUGUGUGUGGAAGGUACCUUGGCCACCCGCCAGGUGUCCCCCUGGCCAUUCUUACUCUUGCUCCUCCACAGGACUGGGAGAGUUAGUAGAACGACAAAGUUUCUGGGUCUGGAUAAACACAGGGAGAUUGCUUACUGAUUACUUUUGCAGGCAAAACAGACUCAACUUGGUGAAAAUUAUUGUUGCUAAGUAGGUAGCAUUGUGACACACAGCAUUUUAAAGACCACUGCAGCAUCCGGUAUGUGUUGAAGAAUGU